GGGGGCACGAACAAACACAAUCCAAAAGCAAAGGGAAAACUAAAAGAAAACCUCACCUUGUGAAGGUUUCUGAAAAUGGUUUAACCCAGGGUUUAACCCUAAAUGGGCACUUAAAUCUCCCUCCCCUUUAAUUUAUGCGUGUGCACACAUACGCACCGAUGGUGGUUUACGAGGACCAUGACCUGAGACCGACUUAGGAGGACCGGUCAGAAAUGUACGUAAAAUAGGUUAUUACCACGUAAUUCAAAACUAUAUAUAGUGAAAGUAUAUAAAUAGACUGAUUUAUGGUGUUUAAAGGCGUUUUAAUUUCAGUGAUGAUACACACUUCGGUUUACGAGGACCGGAUAGAACAAACCGUACGUGGUUUACGAGGACCGGGUAAAAACAAGCCUUACGUGGUUUACGAGGACCGGGUAAAACUAAGCACACAUGGUUUACAUGGUCCACGUUGAGCUAGCGCAUAUCAUUUAAGAUAUGUCAUAUGUGAUAUAUUUAAUUAGCGUUAGAGAGAUCACCAUGUUGAGGUCGAGAGUUCUAUGAUUUCUGACCGUGGUUGCCUGUCAGCACAUCAUUUGGGUUAAUUUAGCAAUACGUCUCUUCAGUAAAAUAAUUAAAAAUGAAUACACUUUUGCGCUAUGCGGGAUUGCUAUUUUUUUUUUUUUUAAUAAAACCCUGACAGCUACAGUAAAAACCUACAAUGAUUUGACUUUUUUUAUUUUUGUGUUUUCACUCACGGGAACCCUGCGUCUAUUUUUCGCGCGUUUUGCUCUUGCAACUCGCGGCCAUCAGCCAACACGGUGGUUUGGCAAAUGUUUUGCCUUUUUUUUCGUCGUGAAAACCAAGAAAGAUCGACACACUAUAAUAUAAAGAUGUACAAACGAUGGAUAGAAGGAUAAACAAUGGAAUUUGAAAGAAGGUGAAUCUCACUUACAAGAUAGACUCCGAGAAAGCUACCAGCUUAGAAGCAUGAUGCUAGGGCAGGAUUUAUGUAAGGCAAUUGUAUUAAUGCAGCUCAGCAAAAAUUAACACAACCUGAGUAACAAACAGAUAGAUAAUAAUUUUACAAAUGAAAAUUUUCUAAAAAAACUGAACCAGAAUAAUAUAAUAAACUAAAGUAGUAAAAAAUUUUGAAAACAAGUUCUAGAGCUUAUUUUAUUCAUUCCUUCACGAAGUGGGCUGAAACAAAUGUGCCAAUCCGGUCGCCUAGUCCAUGGAACGUUGGUAAAAAUAGGUUUUCUUUUUUUUUUGCACACAAAUAUCAUGCUUAAUGUACCGUGAACCCCCUAAUAAUUUAAUAUGGGGAUCUAGUGUGUCUAUGGUUCUCUACAAGGAGGGUCAGUGUUUCGGACCUUUCAGAAAAGGGUACAUUUCAAAGACUAUUAGCCGAAAAAGCAAAGAAGAGGAAGUUUCUAAAACUUUUCAGCUAAUAUUUGCAAUAUUAUAUAUAUAUAGAAUGUAUAGUGUUUUAAUGUAUAGACUUAAAUUCUGAAGAGAAUAAAAAACACCCAUUUUGCUGUA
This is a long non-coding RNA of Nematostella vectensis (starlet sea anemone), 1518 nucleotides long. RefSeq lists it as uncharacterized. The transcript is spliced from 2 exons. Lineage: Eukaryota; Metazoa; Cnidaria; Anthozoa; Actiniaria; Edwardsiidae. The record is from RefSeq and is a predicted model, not a curated record.